Long non-coding RNA from Zalophus californianus (California sea lion), 667 nucleotides. RefSeq lists it as uncharacterized. Lineage: Eukaryota; Metazoa; Chordata; Mammalia; Carnivora; Otariidae. The record is from RefSeq and is a predicted model, not a curated record. The transcript is spliced from 3 exons.
UCUUCCCUUGCAGACAACUCAGCAGGUUUAGACCAGUGACCUAUUACGCUGUGUGUUAUUACCCCCGCUGUGUGCUGGGCUACCACCACCCUCAAGCUGCCCUCUAGCCUCCCGGAGGAACCGGAAGAGGUGCUGCGAUCGCCCGGCCGGAGUCACAAGGUCACAUCAAGGGCCUCAUGGGACCUCUGGGGACCCUCGAGGACUUCGGAUGAAGAGACCUGUCUCAGAGCUGCCUGAAGCCCCUCCCAGCCUCCACCCUCCACAGGGCGCAGCAAGUCUGUCCCAGAAAGAGAAGCCCUGAAAUUAGCUGAGCUGAGCUCAGCUGACCGCUCAGACUACAGACUACAUUUCCCAGCCUCCCUUGCAGCUAGUGGUGGCUCCGCGACUGCCCAUUCUAGCCAAUGGGAUGAAAGCAGAAGCGCCCAGAGCCAGCCUCUGCGAACUUUCCUUAACAAGACACCUGGCCCAUGCCUUUGGCACCUUUGUCCCUUCCUUCAUUCCGCUGUCUGGACACCAGGGUAAUAGCUGGACUCCAGCUGCCAUGCUGAUCCACGAGGACAGGACCUCACCCUAGAAAUGGUGGGGCGGGGCGGUGAGCUGGAAGGACCUGGGCCCAAGGAAUUCCGGAAGCAAAGCCUCCCCACCAGCCCUGAUCUGCCACCCUCCA